Molecule: long non-coding RNA, 2610 nt
Organism: Triticum dicoccoides
Lineage: Eukaryota; Viridiplantae; Streptophyta; Magnoliopsida; Poales; Poaceae
Exons: 3
Source: RefSeq, a predicted model, not a curated record
CGCCGGUAGUGCCGCUGCUCCCCCGCCCAGCAGCGCCAUCCUCAUAUGACCUCAGCACCAGAGACAGUGGCGACUCGAAAAAAUGGGGAGAUGAGGAGGCCAGGACCUUGGCGCAGACCCGUGCUCCCAGCACCGGACCCCUCCUCGUCGUAGGGCCAGCCCUCCCGCCGGUGCCACGCCAUGCCGUGGUGUUGCCGGCUUGGUGGCCCGUGUUCGGGCAGCCGCCGUGGCGUCGUCAGUGGCGGAUGCGGUGGCAGGGGACCGUCACGGCUUCCGGCCAUGGGUUCCGGCGAUGCCAAGCUGUAGAUCUGAGUCGCCGUCUCCAUUUCAUUUCGUCCAUGUUUUGAUCUAGUACCUCCACUCCUCACCACCUCUCCCCCUCUCAUCCACCCGCCCAGCUCCUCCACUUUAAGAUGCAGGUUGAAAUCCAUCAGGUGCUUUGACUUCUAGGGAGCGUUCAUGUGUUGCACUGAUGCCUAUGGUCUGUUAAACAUCAUGAUAUUCCUGUCUAAUGGAAUAAACAGGAUAGUAUUCUUGAACAAAUGCUAUAUGCAGAAUCAUUGUAUGCCUCAUAUGCUUCGCCUUUACUGCUUAAUCUCUCACAAGUGGCCUCUGCUGCUCAUACUUUCGCCUACUUAAUGCAUGCAUAAGUCUACAAUUCUUUGUGUAUAUAGUGAAAUGGGUGUAUGACAGGUUCUUUGUUUUCAAUUUUGUAGCUUAGGCACUGGGAUCUUCUUUGAAGUAAUUGAAGCUACCCUAAUUGACAAACUAAAUUCAGUGGGUUAUACUGAGAAUCGAUACUCUGCUCAGUUGUAUUUUUACUGAAACAUGGCAUGUUGUUUUUGUUACUCGUACCAAAGUUCAGGACCUUUAUGAGUUGGUUGAUGAUCCAUGUAGUUUUGACUUACCAUGAUCUGAAUAUGUAUGUCAGUAUACAUGAUUAAGUAAUGGCUAAAUGACUGGGAUGUGUAUGUCAUCUUUAAUUGAAUUUAGAUGCUUAUUCAAUCUGAAUUGAAAUGUUUUAUCAUUCGCCAGGUCUUUGCUUGUAAUUUCUUGUGCUGUAAACUGUAAUUAAUCAUCUUUAUCUAUUGUCUAUUAUCCUACAACUGGGCUCAUGCACUUGGAAUUCUUUGCCACCUGAUAAUUAGUGAAGGUAGUAUAUCUCUGGAUCGUAAUUGGAGUGCCAACGCUUCUAAUAGCUUGCUGAGGAUUAAUGCUUAAUUAUCAUUUAUUUAACUUUAUGCUAACACAUUAGAUUAUCUGGUGAAGCACAUGUUUCAUCUUGCAUUCCCUACCUGUACAGACUGUAGACGGACAAUACAUUAGCUCUAAUCUCAGACACUGGUUAAUUAACUAUAUUACUAAUCAAAUAGCCUGCUGUUUACUAGGAGCUGCUAAUACUACUGGCUUACUCUUUGGAACCUUCGGUUGAUCUAUACAUGUGUAGCUAGCUGCUUUUCUCCAUGGCGCAUUUCGUGUAGAUACGUAGAGAUGUUGAUUAGUAAAUGCAUGCAAACUGAAUUCUGUAUUAGUUUCCCAGCGAGUAGCAUCACUGAAACGACGGUUCUUCUCUAUGCGAGUUAAACGGAUUGCUUGGGUGAGAUUUUGUUAGGAUAAUCUCAGAGGUUGCUAGCAAUCAGUAGAGUUACUCAUAGUACUAAUACAUGUGCAAGUUUGCUUUAAUUAAUUUUGGUGCUUCUCCUGAUUGAAGAUGGCCGUGACCAAUUUCAAAACUGCAAAACCCCAUUAAACAUUGUUGGUAUGAAUUGGGCUUGGAAAAUACUCGAUCCAGCAACUCCUUUGUUCUACAUUUUGGUUCAGCCUUACACACUUCACCGGGUAUAGGAAUUUAUUUAGAUGUAUGUAGAUACAUAGGCGUACAGGGACCCACUGUAUUCCUUUUCUUUUUGUAACCUCACAUUGAAAUAUCUAACUUUUUGUAUAAUGGGUCUUUUCAGAGAAUUGCCACCGCACCUAAAAAACAAGAGUUUCAAUUGUAUAAAGAAAUCCAUGUAUGUGUGACAGAACCUUUACACGAGGAGGGCAACAGCGUCGACAUGGCGAUCGAGUCACUCCUGAAUGCGGAGAAGCAGUGUUGCCUGGCUGGCGAUGUGGCCAGCACUAGGAAGGACAUCGUCGAGCUCUCCUUCAAGGAUGGCGCCUGGAAGACGCUUAACUACCAGAUCGUUCUCCUCUCUAAGAGGAGGAGGGGCCAGCUCAAAGAAUGGCGUCACCGGCGAGGAUGGCAGUGGCGUGCCCAUGUUCGCGGAGUACAACCUCGACGAGCUAUGCGCCUCCAUCGAUGGCUUCACAAUGGACCACACCAUCUUUGAGCACUGUGAGAAGGAGCCUAAUGCCGUCUACCACGGACCCUCUUCAGCUCUGGCACCACCAUCGCCAUCAAGCGCUUCGACCGCUCCGCCUGGCCUGACGCACGCCAGUUCGUGGUUCGUGCCCCUUGCUUUGGUUUGCUUUGCUUCGCGGGGGUGGAUCGUCACCUCGUAAGCACCAUCGUUCGACUGGCCUCUGCUGCGGAGUCUGAAUUGAAUUUGUUGAAUAAUUAGGCAUUUUUCCGUUUAGUUUAAUCCAGAAAAAUAAUGGAUAAAACAU